AACCUCCGCAAUGUGAGAAAUCGCGACGGGGGGAUCCCAAGUGCCAUUCUUAACGGGAUGGCUUUUCUUAAGUGUAAAAAGCUUUUGGAAUAAGAGCUGGGCAAGACCGGUGCCAGCCGCCGCGGUAACACCGGCAGCUCUAGUGGUAGCUGUUUUUAUUGGGCCUAAAGCGUUCGUAGCCGGUUUGAUAAGUCACUGGUGAAAUCCUGUAGCUUAACUGUGGGAAUUGCUGGUGAUACUGUUGAACUUGAGGUCGGGAGAGGUUAGCGGUACUCCCAGGGUAGAGGUGAAAUUCUGUAAUCCUGGGAGGACCACCUGUGGCGAAGGCGGCUAACUGGAACGAACCUGACGGUGAGGGACGAAAGUUAGGGGCGCGAACCGGAUUAGAUACCCGGGUAGUCCUAACUGUAAACGAUGCGGACUUGGUGUUGGGGUGGCUUUGAGCUGCUCCAGUGCCGAAGGGAAGCUGUUAAGUCCGCCGCCUGGGAAGUACGGUCGCAAGACUGAAACUUAAAGGAAUU
Molecule: ribosomal RNA, 521 nt
Filed under: uncultured bacterium
Lineage: Bacteria
Description: bacterial SSU rRNA
Rfam family: Archaeal small subunit ribosomal RNA
Source: RNAcentral